Molecule: ribosomal RNA, 484 nt
Filed under: uncultured bacterium
Lineage: Bacteria
Description: partial 16S ribosomal RNA
Rfam family: Bacterial small subunit ribosomal RNA
Source: RNAcentral
GACGAACGCUGGCGGCGUGCUUAACACAUGCAAGUCGAACGAUGAUGCUGGAGCUUGCUCCAGUUGAUUAGUGGCGAACGGGUGAGUAACACGUGAGCAAUCUGCCCUUGACUCUGGGAUAACUGCGGGAAACUGUAGCUAAUACCGGAUACUUUCACCGGAAGGCAUCUUCUGGUGAUGAAAGAAUUUCGGUCAGGGAUGAGCUCGCGGCCUAUCAGCUUGUUGGUGAGGUAACGGCUCACCAAGGCGACGACGGGUAGCCGGCCUGAGAGGGUGACCGGCCACACUGGGACUGAGACACGGCCCAGACUCCUACGGGAGGCAGCAGUGGGGAAUAUUGCACAAUGGGCGCAAGCCUGAUGCAGCAACGCCGCGUGAGGGAUGAAGGCCUUCGGGUUGUAAACCUCUUUUAGCAGGGAAGAAGCGCAAGUGACGGUACCUGCAGAAGAAGCACCGGCCAACUACGUGCCAGCAGCCGCCGUAA